Molecule: ribosomal RNA, 497 nt
Filed under: uncultured bacterium
Lineage: Bacteria
Description: partial 16S ribosomal RNA
Rfam family: Bacterial small subunit ribosomal RNA
Source: RNAcentral
GAUGAACGCUGGCGGCGUGCCUAAUACAUGCAAGUCGAGCGAACAGACGAGGAGCUUGCUCCUCUGACGUUAGCGGCGGACGGGUGAGUAACACGUGGAUAACCUACCUAUAAGACUGGGAUAACUUCGGGAAACCGGAGCUAAUACCGGAUAAUAUAUUGAACCGCAUGGUUCAAUAGUGAAAGACGGUUUUGCUGUCACUUAUAGAUGGAUCCGCGCCGCAUUAGCUAGUUGGUAAGGUAACGGCUUACCAAGGCGACGAUGCGUAGCCGACCUGAGAGGGUGAUCGGCCACACUGGAACUGAGACACGGUCCAGACUCCUACGGGAGGCAGCAGUAGCGAAUCUUCCGCAAUGGGCGAAAGCCUGACGGAGCAACGCCGCGUGAGUGAUGAGGGUCUUCGGAUCGUAAAACUCUGUUAUUAGGGAAGAACAAAUGUGUAAGUAACUAUGCACGUCUUGACGGUACCUAAUCAGAAAGCCACGGCUAACUACGUG